UUGUCUAAACUGGUAUUAACUAUUCCUGGUAAAUCGCGGAGAAGAGUGGAAUGAACAAAAAAGGCAGACCGAGACUAGAACCACCAGCAGCGUAACACGGAAAUCUUGGAACAAAGAGACACCGAGUGGUUCGUGUUGUCCGGUUUGGAUAUCAGCGGUAAAGCGAACGUUGUGUGUACUAUUGCAAAAUAUAUAUAGCGGAUCUCCACGGUUAGGAUACAGACCACAACGCUUUGGACGUAUCUUUAAAAAAGAGAAAAAUCAGAGACUUUUUGGAUUUGUCUGGGGGACAUUUUAAACAUUUUGUGACAAAUUGGAUUUAAAACAUUUCGGAUAUUGGAUACCUAGUUUGAUAUGUCCACAGAGAUUGUUUAAGACGUUUUCACCUCAUUUUAGGGUUUAUUUUUAAUUAAAGGCUUCUUAAAACAUGUAUGAAAAUGUGUAUAUUAUACAAUGAGUCUUAUAUUGUCUGCUCUGACAAAAAUAAAUUAUUAUUUUAGAUUUUA
Molecule: long non-coding RNA, 506 nt
Organism: Paramisgurnus dabryanus
Lineage: Eukaryota; Metazoa; Chordata; Actinopteri; Cypriniformes; Cobitidae
Source: RefSeq, a predicted model, not a curated record